Molecule: ribosomal RNA, 238 nt
Filed under: uncultured bacterium
Lineage: Bacteria
Description: partial 16S ribosomal RNA
Rfam family: Bacterial small subunit ribosomal RNA
Source: RNAcentral
UGGCGGACGGGUGAGUAACGCGUGGGUAACCUGCCUUGUACUGGGGGACAACAGUUAGAAAUGACUGCUAAUACCGCAUAAGCGUACAGUAUCGCAUGAUACAGUGUGAAAAACUCCGGUGGUACAAGAUGGACCCGCGUCUGAUUAGCUAGUUGGUAAGGUAACGGCUUACCAAGGCGACGAUCAGUAGCCGACCUGAGAGGGUGACCGGCCACAUUGGGACUGAGACACGGCCCAA